Molecule: ribosomal RNA, 301 nt
Filed under: uncultured bacterium
Lineage: Bacteria
Description: partial 16S ribosomal RNA
Rfam family: Bacterial small subunit ribosomal RNA
Source: RNAcentral
CAGCAGCCGCGGUAAUACGAAGGGUGCAAGCGUUACUCGGAAUUACUGGGCGUAAAGCGUGCGUAGGUGGUGGUUUAAGUCCGUUGUGAAAGCCCUGGGCUCAACCUGGGAAUUGCAGUGGAUACUGGGUCACUAGAGUGUGGUAGAGGAUAGUGGAAUUUCCGGUGUAGCAGUGAAAUGCGUAGAGAUCGGAAGGAACAUCUGUGGCGAAGGCGACUAUCCGGGCCAACACUGACACUGAGGCACGAAAGCGUGGGGAGCAAACAGGAUUAGAUACCCCGGUAGUCCCUGUCUCUUAUAC